UUCCGGUUGAUCCUGCCGGACCCUACUGCUAUCGGGAUGGGACUAAGACAUGCGAGUCGUCUAAGCUAUGUGGAGCAUACGGCUCAGUAACACGUGGCUAACCUACCCUCAGGACGGGGACAAACCCGGGAAACUGGGGCUAAUAUCCGAUAGGUGAGAAUGCCUGGAAUGGUUUAUCACUCAAAGGGUUGGACGCCUGGGGAUGGGGCCGCGACCGAUCAGGUUGUUGGUGAGGUAAUGGCUCACCAAGCCUAUAACCGGUACGGGCCGUGAGAGCGGUAGCCCGGAGAUGGGUACUGAGACAAGGACCCAGGCCCUACGGGGCGCAGCAGUCGCGAAAACUCCGCAAUGCACGAAAGUGUGACGGGGCUACCCCGAGUGCCAUCCGCUGAGGAUGGCUUUUCCUUGGUUUAACUAGCCAGGGGAAUAAGGAGAGGGCAAGAUCUGGUGUCAGCCGCCGCGGUAAUACCAGCUCUCCGAGUGGUAGGGAUGAUUAUUGGGCCUAAAGCGUCCGUAGCCGGCUUAGCAAGUCUCCUGUUAAAUUCAGCGACCUAAUCGUUGAGCCGCGGGAGAUACUACUAGGCUAGGAGGCGGGACAGGUCGACGGUACUUCUGGGGUAGGGGUGAAAUCCUAUAAUCCCGGAAGGACCACCAGUGGCGAAGGCUGUCGACUAGAACGCGCUCGACGGUGAGGGACGAAAGCUGGGGUAGCGAACCGGAUUAGAUACCCGGGUAGUCCCAGCCGUAAACGAUGCGGGCUAGGUGUUGGGGUGGCUACGUGCCACUUCAGUGCCGCAGGGAAGCCAUUAAGCCCGCCGCCUGGGGAGUACGGCCGCAAGGCUGAAACUUAAAGGAAUUGGCGGGGGAGCACCACAAGGCGUGAAGCUUGCGGUUCAAUUGGAUUCAACGCCGGA
Molecule: ribosomal RNA, 914 nt
Filed under: uncultured archaeon
Lineage: Archaea
Description: bacterial SSU rRNA
Rfam family: Archaeal small subunit ribosomal RNA
Source: RNAcentral